This 815-nucleotide long non-coding RNA is filed under the name Serinus canaria (Common canary). Its description in RNAcentral is "lncRNA (ENSSCAG00000009879.1)". The record is from RNAcentral. Lineage: Eukaryota; Metazoa; Chordata; Aves; Passeriformes; Fringillidae.
UGAGGGAGAACUCCUGAAAUGGAAGCUGAUUUGGAGAAUAUGUCUGACAAAAGCAAUGGUGCUGCAGCUUGGGAGUGCAGGCAAGCCCAGGAGAAGAUAUUUUCCUGAAGUGAGGAGUGAAGCCUUCAAUUCCAGUGCCAGAGGAGUGAGUUGUGAGAUCCAAAGUGCAGAUUUGCUGUUGCUCCUCUCCAACACAGAGGGUGGAAAAUGUGACCAAAGAUGCAGAACAUGAGGAAGCAGAGGACAAGGUGAGUGUCUGCAGAGCAGAAGGGAUGGCAGCAGAGGACAAGGUGAGUGUCUGCAGAGCAGAAGGGAUGGCAGCAGCCUUUCUGUUCCAGGGCUGAGCACAAGGGUGUGAGGGUGAGUCAGCUCCAACACUUCUGGGUCUGGGCUGGGGCAAACUACACCCACUCUGUGUGCUGGGCACUCUUAUUAUCGAGUCAGAGAAAGCCAGGAGGAACGUGCUGUGUUGAUGGAGAAACACUCCACAGUGUUUGAAAAAUCUAAGAGGAACAAGCUACUCAGAAACACUGGUAUGUUCAGUCGAAUUGAUGCUGCAAGCAGGAUGAAAGGGUCAAAAUGGAGACAGAAAUUUUCUGAGAGGUAAUACCAGGUGUGGGAAUGAGCUCUAGGGUUUGUGCCUCCCUGCCACUGUCCUCUCUGCCAGUUCACUUAUCCCCUUCUCUCUUUUUGCUCCUGAAAUUUUGUGACCUCCUGUGCAUCCUCACGUGGUCUCACCAAGUCUUAUCCCCUCAUGUGCACAGUGAGCUCCUGCACCUCUUCUGACAAUGAGGGCAGUCUGAAUUGUUCAGUUU